CGCCAGUUUCCCUCGUGCCCUCGUUCUUCCCUGGUAAGUUCUGAGAGAAAGCAGAGAGUGAGGGUGCAGCGCCUCCUCCGUCUACCCGCCGAUCCGUCGUCUCCGGCACUGGGCGCCAUGUCCGGGGGCUCGGGGCGGCUCCCCGCGUCCCAUUCCCGGCGCUAGGACCCCGAGGAGCGGCCCCCCCCGUCGAGCUCGCCCCCGUCUUCGGGGCGAACCGGGCAAACUGCGCGGCUCCUCUUCUUCGCCUCCGGCGUCCUCCGCCCCG
Molecule: long non-coding RNA, 268 nt
Filed under: Hordeum vulgare
Lineage: Eukaryota; Viridiplantae; Streptophyta; Magnoliopsida; Poales; Poaceae
Description: long non-coding RNA (HVUL_LNC005141)
Source: RNAcentral